RNAcentral lists this ribosomal RNA (484 nucleotides) under uncultured bacterium. Its description in RNAcentral is "partial 16S ribosomal RNA". It matches the Rfam family "Bacterial small subunit ribosomal RNA", at positions 30 to 507 of the family's 1533-position model. The record is from RNAcentral.
AUUGAACGCUGGCGGCAGGCCUAACACAUGCAAGUCGAGCGGAUGAAGGGAGCUUGCUCCUGGAUUCAGCGGCGGACGGGUGAGUAAUGCCUAGGAAUCUGCCUGGUAGUGGGGGAUAACGUCCGGAAACGGGCGCUAAUACCGCAUACGUCCUGAGGGAGAAAGUGGGGGAUCUUCGGACCUCACGCUAUCAGAUGAGCCUAGGUCGGAUUAGCUAGUUGGUGGGGUAAAGGCCUACCAAGGCGACGAUCCGUAACUGGUCUGAGAGGAUGAUCAGUCACACUGGAACUGAGACACGGUCCAGAGUCCUACGGGAGGCAGCAGUGGGGAAUAUUGGACAAUGGGCGAAAGCCUGAUCCAGCCAUGCCGCGUGUGUGAGGAAGGUCUUCGGAUUGUAAAGCACUUUAAGUUGGGAGGAGGGGCAGUAAGUUAAUACCUUGCUGUUUUGACGUUACCAACAGAAUAAGCACCGGCUAACUUCGUG